This 71-nucleotide transfer RNA is filed under the name Microcaldota archaeon. RNAcentral's name for it is "tRNA-Trp". It matches the Rfam family "tRNA". From Rfam's summary of the family: Transfer RNA (tRNA) molecules are approximately 80 nucleotides in length. The record is from RNAcentral. Lineage: Archaea; Nanobdellati; Microcaldota.
GGGGUUAUAGUGUAAUGGCAACACACGGAGCUCCAGACUCCGGAACGGGGGUUCAAAUCCCUCUGACCCCA